UACGAAGGGGGCUAGCGUUGUUCGGAAUUACUGGGCGUAAAGCGCGCGCAGGCGGUCCUUCAAGUCAGAGGUGAAAGCCCAGAGCUCAACUCUGGAACGGCCUUUGAGACUAGAGGACUUGAGUACGGGAGAGGUGAGUGGAAUUCCGAGUGUAGAGGUGAAAUUCGUAGAUAUUCGGAAGAACACCAGUGGCGAAGGCGGCUCACUGGCCCAUUACCGACGCUCAGGCGCGACAGCGUGGGGAGCAAACAGG
RNAcentral lists this ribosomal RNA (253 nucleotides) under uncultured bacterium. Its description in RNAcentral is "partial 16S ribosomal RNA". It matches the Rfam family "Bacterial small subunit ribosomal RNA", at positions 524 to 776 of the family's 1533-position model. The record is from RNAcentral.